GACGAACGCUGGCGGCGUGCUUAACACAUGCAAGUCGAACGGAAAGGCCCUGCUUUUGUGGGGUUCUCGAGUGGCGAACGGGUGAGUAACACGUGAGUAACCUGCCCUUGACUUUGGGAUAACUUCAGGAAACUGGGGCUAAUACCGGAUAGGAGCUCCUGCUGCAUGGUGGGGGUUGGAAAGUUUCGGCGGUUGGGGAUGGACUCGCGGCUUAUCAGCUUGUUGGUGGGGUAGUGGCUUACCAAGGCUUUGACGGGUAGCCGGCCUGAGAGGGUGACCGGCGACAUUGGGACUGAGAUACGGCCCAGACUCCUACGGGAGGCAGCAGUGGGGAAUAUUGCACAAUGGGCGGAAGCCUGAUGCAGAAACGCCGCGAGCGGGAUGACGGCCUUCGGGUUGUAAACCGCUUUCGCCUGUGACGAAGCGUGAGUGACGGUAAUGGGUAAAGAAGCACCGGCUAACUACGUG
Molecule: ribosomal RNA, 468 nt
Filed under: uncultured bacterium
Lineage: Bacteria
Description: partial 16S ribosomal RNA
Rfam family: Bacterial small subunit ribosomal RNA
Source: RNAcentral